UACGAAGGUGGCUAGCGUUGUUCGGAAUUACUGGGCGUAAAGCGCACGUAGGCGGACUUGAAAGUCAGAGGUGAAAGCCCAGGGCUCAACCUUGGAACUGCCUUUGAAACUUCUGGUCUUGAGGUCGAGAGAGGUGAGUGGAAUUCCGAGUGUAGAGGUGAAAUUCGUAGAUAUUCGGAGGAACACCAGUGGCGAAGGCGGCUCACUGGCUCGAUACUGACGCUGAGGUGCGAAAGCGUGGGGAGCAAACAGG
This 253-nucleotide ribosomal RNA is filed under the name uncultured bacterium. RNAcentral describes it as "partial 16S ribosomal RNA". It matches the Rfam family "Bacterial small subunit ribosomal RNA", at positions 524 to 776 of the family's 1533-position model. The record is from RNAcentral.